GAUGAACGCUGGCGGCGUGCCUAAUACAUGCCAGUCGAGCGAACGGACGAGAAGCUUGCUUUUCUGAUGUUAGCGGCGGACGGGUGAGUAACACGUGGAUAACCUACCUAUAAGACUGGGAUAACUUCGGGAAACCGGAGCUAAUACCGGAUAAUAUUUUGAACCGCAUGGUUCAAAAGUGAAAGACGGUCUUGCUGUCACUUAUAGAUGGAUCCGCGCUGCAUUAGCUAGUUGGUAAGGUAACGGCUUACCAAGGCAACGAUGCAUAGCCGACCUGAGAGGGUGAUCGGCCACACUGGAACUGAGACACGGUCCAGACUCCUACGGGAGGCAGCAGUGGGGAAUCUUCCGCAAUGGGCGAAAGCCUGACGGAGCAACGCCGCGUGAGUGAUGAAGGUCUUCGGAUCGUAAAACUCUGUUAUUAGGGAAGAACAUAUGUGUAAGUAACUGUGCACAUCUUGACGGUACCUAAUCAGAAAGCCACGGCUAACUACGUG
Molecule: ribosomal RNA, 497 nt
Filed under: uncultured bacterium
Lineage: Bacteria
Description: partial 16S ribosomal RNA
Rfam family: Bacterial small subunit ribosomal RNA
Source: RNAcentral